Molecule: ribosomal RNA, 399 nt
Filed under: Triticum aestivum (bread wheat)
Lineage: Eukaryota; Viridiplantae; Streptophyta; Magnoliopsida; Poales; Poaceae
Description: partial small subunit ribosomal RNA
Source: RNAcentral
AUGGAUCGAGCUACUACUUUUCACUAUGGAAGGCCUUCUACACUGGAUUUCAACCCGGACCUUGCAGUUGUAGAUCAGGUACGUCGAUGUUUUGCAGAAAUGGUUCACUUCUCACCAUCUCGCAAUACUAAGGAAUUUUUCUUGGUGGUAUCUUUCUCUUCCGCCUCGUUUCCUCUCUCUGUAGAAUCUGUGGCUUUGGCUUUACAAUGUUGCAUUGGUGGGCACCCAAAAGGGUUUAAGGUUUCAAAGAUCAAUGACACAUCAUUUCCCUUUUCGGUGGCUGGCAACAAAGUGGGACAUUUCAUUCAUGGCCUCAAGGACCGUAUUUGGCCGGAUUUCAUUUUUUGUUUUCAUUUGUUCAAUGGUCGUUCCAAUGGUUAUAAGCAUUUUGAAAAUUAG